Non-coding RNA from Apiotrichum porosum, 111 nucleotides. Lineage: Eukaryota; Fungi; Basidiomycota; Tremellomycetes; Trichosporonales; Trichosporonaceae. The record is from the annotation of a RefSeq genome assembly.
GGCGAGAUGGCCGAGCGGUCUAAGGCGCUGUGUUAAGGUGAAGCAUCCCCACUCUUCCAAGAGUAGCUCAUCCGCAGUCUUCGGACGUGGGUUCGAAUCCCACUCUCGUCA